Molecule: non-coding RNA, 24 nt
Filed under: Arabidopsis thaliana (thale cress)
Lineage: Eukaryota; Viridiplantae; Streptophyta; Magnoliopsida; Brassicales; Brassicaceae
Source: RNAcentral
AGUGAUUCAGUCCCGCCAAAGCUC